GAUGAACGCUGGCGGCGUGCCUAAUACAUGCAAGUCGAGCGAACAGACGAGGAGCUUGCUCCUCUGACGUUAGCGGCGGACGGGUGAGUAACAAGUGGAUAACCUACCUAUAAGACUGGGAUAACUUCGGGAAACCGGAGCUAAUACCGGAUAACAUGUUGAACCGCAUGGUUCAACAGUGAAAGACGGUCUUGCUGUCACUUAUAGAUGGAUCCGCGCCGCAUUAGCUAGUUGGUAAGGUAACGGCUUACCAAGGCAACGAUGCGUAGCCGACCUGAGAGGGUGAUCGGCCACACUGGAACUGAGACACGGUCCAGACUCCUACGGGAGGCAGCAGUAGGGAAUCUUCCGCAAUGGGCGAAAGCCUGACGGAGCAACGCCGCGUGAGUGAUGAAGGUCUUCGGAUCGUAAAACUCUGUUAUUAGGGAAGAACAAAUGUGUAAGUAACUAUGCACGUCUUGACGGUACCUAAUCAGAAAGCCACGGCUAACUACGUG
Molecule: ribosomal RNA, 497 nt
Filed under: uncultured bacterium
Lineage: Bacteria
Description: partial 16S ribosomal RNA
Rfam family: Bacterial small subunit ribosomal RNA
Source: RNAcentral